RNAcentral lists this long non-coding RNA (1837 nucleotides) under Vitis vinifera (wine grape). Its description in RNAcentral is "long non-coding RNA (VVIN_LNC002318)". The record is from RNAcentral. Lineage: Eukaryota; Viridiplantae; Streptophyta; Magnoliopsida; Vitales; Vitaceae.
AAUAGUUGGAAAGAAAACAAAGUUUGAGUUUUGGAUCAUACAUCACAUGCCUGAUGUGAACAGUAAAAAUAAAAAAAAUAAAAAAAAAAGAUGAUGAAGGCAGUUCCUAGGGGUGGAAGAGUUCAGUUUGCUGUGGAGUCAAAAUCUUUUGAGAUUUUGAUUGAUGAGUUAGGUGAUAAACUAAGAGGGUGCAUUUGGGAGAGAUGCAAAGGUAUAACAUCUUGGAUCAGAUUUAGGGACGUUAGUCUAAGUAGGUUGCUGGCCGGAGUUGAGUUUUGUUGCAGAGGCGGAGAUGAUAAAGGCUGGUCCCAUGCAUGGGAGGAGGAGGGUAGGAGUUACAGGCUGGAGAAACGUUUAAAUGAGGCGGGAAGAUUUAUCUUUUGCUCGGUCCGUGAUGUAGAGGCAAAACGUUUUUGCUUAAUCUUCCCAGAAGGGAAGGGGCUGUCAGGUGGGUGGAAUAUUUUGGCAGAGAAGCUGAGAGUGGUGGGAGUAGUCCCCAUUGGAAGCUUAAAGACUCCUCUGUUUAGAGAGGUGCAGAAGAAGGAAUUGGAACUAGAAACAAGGACCUAUGCGGAUGUAACAAAAUUUAGAGCGGGUAAAAUAGGAGAUAAGGUCUGGUUGGAGGUGGGAAGGAGGGUGAAGCCAGAAAGAGUUGAGCUAUUGGAUCGAUGUUUAGUGGGCAGGUGGGAAAAUGGUGUGAAUCCAUCACUAGAGCUGGAUUUUCUGAAGCAUUGGGCGGGUCAAGCUUGGCUCCUAAAAGGUAAUUUGAACAUAGAUGUUUUGGGAGGAGGAUUUUUGCUCUUUGAGUUUGAAUGUUCAAGUGAGGCUGAGCGUGUCUUGACGAGAGGGAAGAGAAGGGUGAAAGACAAUGAAUUAAUUCAGGAAAAAUGGCAUCCGGAGGUGGGUUGCUUGGGUAAUAAAGUCAUGGUUAAAGAGGCUUGGGUGAGAGUGGUGGGCCUUCCCCUUCAUCUAUGGAGUCGAGAGGUGUUUAAAUUGAUUGGGGAUGGCUGUGGUGGUCUGAUUAAAGUGGAUGAAAAAACGGUUUCUAUGGCCAAUCUUCAAUGGGCUAGAUUGUUGGUGAGGGUGGAAGGAAGGGAUUUCCCUUCCUCAGUUCAGCUGGUGGAGGGAUCGGGAUGUUAUUCAAUCCAGCUGUGGUGGGAAGUCCAGCCCUAGUAUUCUCAUGUGAUGCCGGCGGGAAGCGGGUGCCGGAAAGGUGAUACAGAGAUUGAAGAUGAGGAAGGGAGUGGGUUAGGUGACGUGUGCAGAGGAAACGUGUUGGAGAAGGAGGCGCAGCUUGUGGAGCAGAUGGGAAUUCAGAGUGAGCCGCCCUGUGGAAGCUCCUCGAAAGGAGCUACAGUCUUCUCUAUGGAGCCAGCUGCAAGGGGGCCUAGUGUGGAGGAGACUGAUGGAGAGGAUAGGCUAGAGAAUAGGGGUCAGGGAGCAGGUAAAGUGGUCAUAAGGGAUGGUGUUGGGUUGGGGCCUGCCGCCAUUAAGGUUGGGCCUGAUAUUGGGGAGGCCUAGAUUAGAAGUAGGCUUGGGGUAAUGAAGAGCAGUCCAGACCGUGAGGAAGCCCAGUUGUUUGGGCCGGAGGAAGCAAAGCCCAUUAUAUUAAAAGGAUGGCAGAUGGGCUGUGAGGAGAAGCCCUUUUAUAUCAAGGGCUCCUUAGUGGGCUGGGAAGGUUUGGCCGAGAUGGGCUGUGGGCCCGUGGAAGAGGGUUUAAAAGGUAUUAGGGCUUUCUCUCUCGCUGACGAAGUGGAAAUGGGAGCUAGGGCUACUGAGGAGGAUUCGCGGGCUGGUGUUAGAGACGACGAGGGGGUCGCCUGCUGUCACAGAGGGG